This 701-nucleotide ribosomal RNA is filed under the name Streptomyces sp. RNAcentral's name for it is "bacterial SSU rRNA". It matches the Rfam family "Bacterial small subunit ribosomal RNA", at positions 36 to 755 of the family's 1533-position model. The record is from RNAcentral. Lineage: Bacteria; Bacillati; Actinomycetota; Actinomycetes; Kitasatosporales; Streptomycetaceae.
CCGGGGGGCCUGCUUACACAUGCAGUCGAACGAUGAAGCCCUUCGGGGUGGAUUAGUGGCGAACGGGUGAGUAACACGUGGGCAAUCUGCCCUGCACUCUGGGACAAGCCCUGGAAACGGGGUCUAAUACCGGAUAUGACUGUCCACCGCAUGGUGGAUGGUGUAAAGCUCCGGCGGUGCAGGAUGAGCCCGCGGCCUAUCAGCUUGUUGGUGAGGUAGUGGCUCACCAAGGCGACGACGGGUAGCCGGCCUGAGAGGGCGACCGGCCACACUGGGACUGAGACACGGCCCAGACUCCUACGGGAGGCAGCAGUGGGGAAUAUUGCACAAUGGGCGAAAGCCUGAUGCAGCGACGCCGCGUGAGGGAUGACGGCCUUCGGGUUGUAAACCUCUUUCAGCAGGGAAGAAGCGAAAGUGACGGUACCUGCAGAAGAAGCGCCGGCUAACUACGUGCCAGCAGCCGCGGUAAUACGUAGGGCGCAAGCGUUGUCCGGAAUUAUUGGGCGUAAAGAGCUCGUAGGCGGCUUGUCACGUCGGUUGUGAAAGCCCGGGGCUUAACCCCGGGUCUGCAGUCGAUACGGGCAGGCUAGAGUUCGGUAGGGGAGAUCGGAAUUCCUGGUGUAGCGGUGAAAUGCGCAGAUAUCAGGAGGAACACCGGUGGCGAAGGCGGAUCUCUGGGCCGAUACUGACGCUGAGGAGCG